RNAcentral lists this transfer RNA (73 nucleotides) under Chamberlainia hainesiana. RNAcentral describes it as "tRNA-Cys". Lineage: Eukaryota; Metazoa; Mollusca; Bivalvia; Unionida; Unionidae. The record is from RNAcentral.
GAUUUUGUAGUAUAUAAACACUAUAAGUUAUUACAGUAAACUGCAACUUUACCAAAGCAUAUGGCCAAAAUUU